UGGGGAAUUUUGGACAAUGGGCGAAAGCCUGAUCCAGCAAUGCCGCGUGUGUGAAGAAGGCCUUCGGGUUGUAAAGCACUUUUGUCCGGAAAGAAAUCCUUGGCUCUAAUACAGUCGGGGGAUGACGGUACCGGAAGAAUAAGCACCGGCUAACUACGUGCCAGCAGCCGCGGUAAUACGUAGGGUGCAAGCGUUAAUCGGAAUUACUGGGCGUAAAGCGUGCGCAGGCGGUUUGCUAAGACCGAUGUGAAAUCCCCGGGCUCAACCUGGGAACUGCAUUGGUGACUGGCAGGCUAGAGUAUGGCAGAGGGGGGUAGAAUUCCACGUGUAGCAGUGAAAUGCGUAGAGAUGUGGAGGAAUACCGAUGGCGAAGGCAGCCCCCUGGGCCAAUACUGACGCUCAUGCACGAAAAGCGUGGGGGAGCAAAACAGGAUUAGAUACCCUGGUAGUCCACGCCCUAAAACGAUGUCAACUAGUUGUUGGGGAUUCAUUUCCUUAGUAACGUAGCUAACGCGUGAAGUUGACCGCCUGGGGAGUACGGUCGCAAAGAUUAAAAACUCAAAUGAAUUGACGGGGUCAUAGCUG
This 585-nucleotide ribosomal RNA is filed under the name uncultured bacterium. Its description in RNAcentral is "partial 16S ribosomal RNA". It matches the Rfam family "Bacterial small subunit ribosomal RNA", at positions 355 to 932 of the family's 1533-position model. The record is from RNAcentral.